Molecule: ribosomal RNA, 503 nt
Filed under: uncultured bacterium
Lineage: Bacteria
Description: bacterial SSU rRNA
Rfam family: Bacterial small subunit ribosomal RNA
Source: RNAcentral
CAGGAUGAACGCUGGGCGGCGUGCCUAAUACAUGCAAGUCGAACGAGAUGUAGCAAUACAUCUAGUGGCGAACGGGUGAGUAACACGUAUCAAUCUGCCCUAACGACUGGGAUACCCUCGGGAAACCUUGGCUAAUACCGGAUAGGAAAUCGAAUCGCAUGAUUUGAUUUUUAAAGGAUCUUUUGAUUCACGAUAGGAUGAGAAUGCGGCGCAUUAGUUAGUUGGUGAGAUAAAAGCCCACCAAGACGAGGAUGCGUAGCCGACCUGAGAGGGUGAUCGGCCACAAUGGAACUGAGACACGGUCCAUACUCCUACGGGAGGCAGCAGUAGGGAGUUUUCGGCAAUGGGGGCAACCCUGACCGAGCAACGCCGCGUGAGUGAUGAAGGACCCCCUAUGGGUCGUAAAAUUCUGUUAUAUGGGACGAACCAUAUCACUGAGAGAAACGGUGGUAUCUGACUGUACCAUAUGAGAAAGGAACGGCUAACUACGUGCCAGCCGCUGC